AGGCCAGUCAGUUAGUCUGCUUACCUGAAUGUGUUUCUGCAGAAAUUUAGAGAGAGCUGGCAAUAAUAAAGCCAUGUUACGAGCCUUAAAGACAUUGAAGUCAUUAAGGUCCCUGAAGAUGGCUACAAGA
Artibeus jamaicensis (Jamaican fruit-eating bat) is the source of this 130-nucleotide small nucleolar RNA. RefSeq annotates it as small nucleolar RNA SNORA33. The transcript has a single exon. Lineage: Eukaryota; Metazoa; Chordata; Mammalia; Chiroptera; Phyllostomidae. The record is from RefSeq and is a predicted model, not a curated record.